RNAcentral lists this ribosomal RNA (483 nucleotides) under uncultured bacterium. RNAcentral's name for it is "partial 16S ribosomal RNA". It matches the Rfam family "Bacterial small subunit ribosomal RNA", at positions 30 to 507 of the family's 1533-position model. The record is from RNAcentral.
UUGAACGCUGGCGGCAGGCCUAACACAUGCAAGUCGAGCGGAUGAUGGGAGCUUGCUCCUGGAUUCAGCGGCGGACGGGUGAGUAAUGCCUAGGAAUCUGCCUGGUAGUGGGGGAUAACGUCCGGAAACGGGCGCUAAUACCGCAUACGUCCUGAGGGAGAAAGUGGGGGAUCUUCGGACCUCACGCUAUCAGAUGAGCCUAGGUCGGAUUAGCUAGUUGGUGGGGUAAAGGCCUACCAAGGCGACGAUCCGUAACUGGUCUGAGAGGAUGAUCAGUCACACUGGAACUGAGACACGGUCCAGACUCCUACGGGAGGCAGCAGUGGGGAAUAUUGGACAAUGGGCGAAAGCCUGAUCCAGCCAUGCCGCGUGUGUGAAGAAGGUCUUCGGAUUGUAAAGCACUUUAAGUUGGGAGGAAGGGCAGUAAGUUAAUACCUUGCUGUUUUGACGUUACCAACAGAAUAAGCACCGGCUAACUUCGUG